UGGACGUGUCGGUAAACGACUAGGGGAAACCUUAGUCCCGAUUUACCUAGGGGGAGUAAACCCGUAUAGGAAAAGUAACUUAGCGUAUACCGUCACGGUAUUACACUAAGUUAGUCCGAUGCCGUAAAAUGGAAAGGUGGAAAUACGCGUACUAGAUUAGGCCGUUAGUCGGUCUCGGUUUAGGGUAAGUUUGUGGGGUAAAGGGCCGUUACCAAGCGACCGAGUCUAGUAGCCGGACGUGAGACGGUUGUAACGGCCGACCAUUGGGACUCGGAGAUAGGCCCCAGACUCCUACGGGUAGGGCAGCAGUCGGGAAGUAUUGCGCAAUGGAGGAAACUCUGUACGCAGUGUACGCCGCGUAUAGGAAGAAGGUUUUCGGUAUUGUUAAACUAUUGUCGUUAGGGUAAGAGAAAGGACUAGUACCUAACGGUAGGAAGCUCCGGCGUAACUACGUGCC
This 457-nucleotide ribosomal RNA is filed under the name uncultured bacterium. RNAcentral describes it as "bacterial SSU rRNA". It matches the Rfam family "Bacterial small subunit ribosomal RNA", at positions 50 to 509 of the family's 1533-position model. The record is from RNAcentral.